Molecule: ribosomal RNA, 251 nt
Filed under: uncultured bacterium
Lineage: Bacteria
Description: partial 16S ribosomal RNA
Rfam family: Bacterial small subunit ribosomal RNA
Source: RNAcentral
UACGUAGGGUGCAAGCGUUGUCCGGAAUUAUUGGGCGUAAAGAGCUCGUAGGCGGUCUGUCGCGUCGGCUGUGAAAACCUAGGGCUCAACCUGGGCCUGCAGCCGAUACGGGCAGACUAGAAUUCGGUAGGGGAGACUGGAAUUCCUGGUGUAGCGGUGAAAUGCGCAGAUAUCAGGAGGAACACCAAUGGCGAAGGCAGCUCGCUGGGACGGUACUGCGCUGAGACGCGAAAGCGUGGGGAGCAAACAGG